Molecule: ribosomal RNA, 770 nt
Filed under: uncultured bacterium
Lineage: Bacteria
Description: bacterial SSU rRNA
Rfam family: Bacterial small subunit ribosomal RNA
Source: RNAcentral
AGAGUUUGAUCAUGGCUCAGAACAAACGCUGGCGGCGUGCCUAAUACAUGCAAGUCGAACGAGGAAAGCCUUCGGGUGAGUACUAGUGGCGCACGGGUGAGUAACACGUGAGUAAUCUUCCUUAGAGUGGGGGAUAACCAGUCGAAAGAUUGGCUAAUACCGCAUAAGACCACGGGGGCUGCGGCUCCUGAGGUAAAAGGUUCUUCGCUCUAAGAUGAGCUCGCGCAAGAUUAGCUAGUUGGUGAGGUAACGGCUCACCAAGGCAACGAUCUUUAACUGGUCUGAGAGGAUGAUCAGUCACACUGGAACUGAGACACGGUCCAGACUCCUACGGGAGGCAGCAGUAGGGAAUAUUGCACAAUGGAGGAAACUCUGAUGCAGCGACGCCGCGUGAGUGAUGAAGGACUUCGGUUCGUAAAGCUCUGUCGUAUGGGAAUAAGUUCUGAAUGUACCAUGCAAGAAAGGAUCGGCUAACUUCGUGCCAGCAGCCGCGGUAAGACGAGGGAUCCUAGCGUUGUUCGGAAUCAUUGGGCGUAAAGCGGAUGUAGGUGGCUUGGUAAGUCAGGUGUGAAAGCCCAGAGCUCAACUCUGGAUGUGCAUUUGAAACUGCUGAGCUUGAGUGCUAGAGAGGUUACUAGAAUACCUGGUGUAGUGGUGAAAUACGUAGAUAUCAGGUGGAAUACCGGAGGCGAAGGCGGGUAACUGGCUAGACACUGACACUCAAAUCCGAAAGCGUGGGGAUCAAACAGGAUUAGAUACCCUAGUAGUCC